Molecule: ribosomal RNA, 18 nt
Filed under: uncultured Symbiodinium
Lineage: Eukaryota; Dinophyceae; Suessiales; Symbiodiniaceae
Description: partial 28S ribosomal RNA
Source: RNAcentral
UAGCACGAAGUCAGACAA